Molecule: ribosomal RNA, 468 nt
Filed under: uncultured bacterium
Lineage: Bacteria
Description: partial 16S ribosomal RNA
Rfam family: Bacterial small subunit ribosomal RNA
Source: RNAcentral
GACGAACGCUGGCGGCGUGCUUAACACAUGCAAGUCGAACGGAAAGGCCCUGCUUUUGUGGGGUGCUCGAGUGGCGAACGGGUGAGUAACACGUGAGUAACCUGCCCUUGACUUUGGGAUAACUUCAGGAAACUGGGGCUAAUCCCGGAUAGGAGCUCCUGCUGCAUGGUGGGGGUUGGAAAGUUUCGGCGGUUGGGGAUGGACUCGCGGCUUAUCAGCUUGUUGGUGGGGUAGUGGCUUACCAAGGCUUUGACGGGUAGCCGGCCUGAGAGGGUGACCGGCCACAUGGGGACUGAGAGACGGCCCAGACUCCUACGGGAGGCAGCAGUGGGGAAUAUUGCACAAUGGGCGGAAGCCUGAUGCAGCAACGCCGCGUGCGGGAUGACGGCCUUCGGGUUGUAAACCGCUUUCGCCUGUGACGAAGCGUGAGUGACGGUAAUGGGUAAAGAAGCACCGGCUAACUACGUG